Molecule: small RNA, 127 nt
Filed under: Marmota monax (woodchuck)
Lineage: Eukaryota; Metazoa; Chordata; Mammalia; Rodentia; Sciuridae
Source: RNAcentral
GCCAGGUGCAGUGGCACACACCUGUAAUCCCAGCAGCUUGGGAGGCUGAGGCAGGAGGAUCAUGAAUUCAAAGCCAGCCUCAGCAAUUUAAUGAGGUACUAAGCAACUCAGUGAGACCCUGUCUCUA